This 537-nucleotide ribosomal RNA is filed under the name uncultured archaeon. RNAcentral's name for it is "bacterial SSU rRNA". It matches the Rfam family "Archaeal small subunit ribosomal RNA", at positions 381 to 917 of the family's 1478-position model. The record is from RNAcentral.
UCGAGUGAUCCUCAUAUUGGGGGGUCUGUCCACCCGCCUAAAACGCGGGUGUUAGCAAGGGCCGGGCAAGACCGGUGCCAGCCGCCGCGGUAAUACCGGCGGCUCGAGUGGUGGCCGAUAUUAUUGAGUCUAAAGGGUCCGUAGCCGGCUUUGCAAGUCUCUCGGGAAAUCCAGCGGCUUAACCGUUGGGCUGUCGGGGGGUACUACAUUGCUUGGGACUGGGAGAGGUAGGAGGUACUCAGGGGGUAGGAGUGAAAUCCUGUAAUCCUUUGGGGACCACCGGUGGCGAAGGCGUCCUACCAGAACAGGUCCGACGGUGAGGGACGAAAGCUAGGGGCACGAACCGGAUUAGAUACCCGGGUAGUCCUAGCCGUAAACGAUGCUCGCUAGGUGUCACAACAGUCGUGAACUGUUGUGGUGCCGUAGGGAAGCCGUGAAGCGAGCCACUUGGGAAGUACGACCGCAAGGUUGAAACUUAAAGGAAUUGGCGGGGGAGCACCACAACGGGUGGAGCCUGCGGUUUAAUUGGACUCAACG